UAUCAAUAAGCGGAGGAAAAGAAACUAACAAGGAUUCCCCUAGUAACUGCGAGUGAAGCGGGAAAAGCUCAAAUUUAAAAUCUGGCGGUCUUUGGCUGUCCGAGUUGUAAUUUAGAGAAGCGUCUUCCGCGCUGGACCGUGCACAAGUCUCCUGGAAUGGAGCGUCAUAGAGGGUGAGAAUCCCGUCUUUGGCACGGAUGCCCGGUGCUUCUGUGAUGCGCUCUCGAAGAGUCGAGUUGUUUGGGAAUGCAGCUCAAAAUGGGUGGUGAACUCCAUCUAAAGCUAAAUAUUGGCGAGAGACCGAUAGCGAACAAGUACCGUGAGGGAAAGAUGAAAAGCACUUUGGAAAGAGAGUGAAACAGUACGUGAAAUUGUUGAAAGGGAAACGCUUGAAGUCAGUCGCGUUGACCGAGACUCAGCCUUGCCUUGGCUUGGUGUACUUCUCGGCUCGACGGGUCAGCGUCAAUUUUGCUCCUCGGAUAAUGGCAAGGGAAAGGUGGCACCUUUACGGGUGUGUUAUAGUCUCCUGUCGCAUGCGAGGGGUGGGAUUGAGGAACUCAGCGCGCACCUCGGUGUCGGGGCUUCUGCCCACGUUCACGCGCUUAGGAUGCUGGCGUAAUGGCUUUAAACGACCCGUCUUGAAA
This 644-nucleotide ribosomal RNA is filed under the name Lactarius blennius. RNAcentral's name for it is "eukaryotic LSU rRNA". It matches the Rfam family "Eukaryotic large subunit ribosomal RNA", at positions 41 to 659 of the family's 3401-position model. Lineage: Eukaryota; Fungi; Basidiomycota; Agaricomycetes; Russulales; Russulaceae. The record is from RNAcentral.